This is a long non-coding RNA of Passer domesticus (house sparrow), 1007 nucleotides long. RefSeq lists it as uncharacterized. The record is from RefSeq and is a predicted model, not a curated record. Lineage: Eukaryota; Metazoa; Chordata; Aves; Passeriformes; Passeridae. The transcript has 2 exons.
CUAAUACAAGAGUGUAGACAGCUACCAACUUGCCCAUCCUUUUGUGUUGUUGUGCAGGUCCAUCACCAAAACAGUGGUGCAGCCUCACCUGGAGUCCUGUGUGCAGUUUUGGGCACUAUAAAAGAGACAUUUAGAGACUGUGCAAAGGAGGGCCAUGAGGAUGGUGAAGGACUUUGAGGAGAAACUGUGCGAGGGGCAGCUGAGGUCACUUGGUCUGUUUGCUUGGAGAAGAGGAGACUGAGGGGAGAGCUCAUUGUGGUCUACAACUUCCUCAAGAGGGGAAGAGGAGGGGAAGGCACUGAUCUCUGUGCUGACCAGUGACAGGUUCCAAAGGAAUGGCCUGGAGUUUUAUCAGGGGAGAUUUGGGUUCAAUAUUAGAAGAAGGUUCAUCACCCAGAGGGUGGCUGAGCACUGGAACAGGCUCCCCAGGGCAGUGGUCACAGCACCAGGCCUGACAGAGUUCAAGAAGUGUUUGGACAACGCUCUCAAGCACAGGGUAUGAUUCUUGGGAUGUCCUGUGCAGGGCCAGGAGUUGCGCUUGAUGAUCCUUGAUGAUCCUCAUGGGUCCCUUCCAAAUCAGUAUAUUCUGUGAUUCUGUAAUUCUAGGAGAAUAUGUCAGCUUUUGCUGGAGCAAACACCCUGAAAUGAAUAGCAGACUGGUCAGACCUUUAUCCUGAUGGAAACAAAGUUAUUGAGACUGUGAUUUAGUGAGUGACCAUGACCUGCUGUAACACAUGUACUCAGACAAGCCAGAUGUCAGGUGAAAAGGACUUAUCUCUACAGACAAUGUGUUUUUUUUCAAGCUUUCCUGAGGUACUCAAUUAACAGAUCUAGAGAUUAUAAUAUGUAAGCACAGUCCAUGCUGUGUCAGGCUUUCUACCACUAAUAUUCCAUCUCAAACUGUGAGGGUGAAGGGAUUAUGUUAACAACAGUACAAUCAUGCAGUUACACUGCCUCAAGUUGUCUUCCUGCUUCCAGAACAAAUUGUAGCCCAGGAAUUUCUUGAG